This 342-nucleotide long non-coding RNA is filed under the name Malus domestica (apple). Its description in RNAcentral is "long non-coding RNA (MDOM_LNC009494)". The record is from RNAcentral. Lineage: Eukaryota; Viridiplantae; Streptophyta; Magnoliopsida; Rosales; Rosaceae.
AGGUGCUGACAAGGCUGGAAAAGUAGGUGCCUCUUCGAUUUCUGAGAUCGACCCUCGUGGUCUCUGAAUAGCCCAGCUUUUGAGAAAGCAAACCUCUUCGAUUUCUGAGAUCGGCCCUAGUGGUCUCUGAGCAGCCCAGCUUUUGAGAAAGCAAACCUCUUCGAUUUCUGAGAUCGGCCCUCGUGGUCUCUGAGCAGCCCAGCUUUUGAGAAAGCAAACCUCUUCGAUUUCUGAGAUCGGCCUUCGUGGUCUUUGAGCAGCCCAGCUUUUGAGAAAGCAAACGCCUCUUCGAUUUUUGAGAUCGACCCUCGUGGUCUCUGAGCAGCCCAGCUUUUGAGAAAG